GGGGGUAUAGUUCAGUGGCAGAGCACAUGCUUAGAGCAUGUACAAGGUCCUGGGUUCAAUCCCCAGUACCUCUA
Molecule: transfer RNA, 74 nt
Filed under: Camelus dromedarius (Arabian camel)
Lineage: Eukaryota; Metazoa; Chordata; Mammalia; Artiodactyla; Camelidae
Also listed under: 1 other name
Rfam family: tRNA
About the family: Transfer RNA (tRNA) molecules are approximately 80 nucleotides in length. Their secondary structure includes four short double-helical elements and three loops (D, anti-codon, and T loops).
Source: Rfam by way of RNAcentral